RNAcentral lists this unclassified non-coding RNA (1254 nucleotides) under Venturia canescens. Its description in RNAcentral is "mitochondrial cardiolipin hydrolase, transcript variant X1". Lineage: Eukaryota; Metazoa; Arthropoda; Insecta; Hymenoptera; Ichneumonidae. The record is from RNAcentral.
UUCAGUCCGUGAACAUGUCGAGCGGGCGGUAUCCGGCAAGUUUGAGUCGACGAGUCAAAGUUUUUAUAAUUAAGUUUUAACAAGUAUUUACCUUAAGUUUUAAUAUUACACCGUACGAAUCAUGUUGUCGAAAGUGAAUAUUUUUGUGUUAGUCGCGGGUGUGUUAGGCUCGGAGAUCAUGUGGCAAAUUUGGAAAUGCAUACAGAACCGUAGUGUUGUGAAAAGUAACAAGUCGAACAAUGUAAUUCCAAACAAAGAAACUGUGACAGCUGAUGACAAUGAAAUACUAAUGUUUACCGAAAAAGGUAAAUUGUGCCGCAGUCAUGCGAUUACGAGGAUUCCGUGCAAGAAAAGCAACUGUCCAGUCGGUUAUAUAAAGAAGUUGGUAUCGUAUUUGAGCCGUGCUUCAAAAACAUUGGACGUUUGCUUGUACAUCAUGACCUGCGAUGAUGUGACGAACGCCAUUAUAAUGGCCCACAGACAAAGCGCACGCGUUAGGGUCAUUGUUGAUUCGGGAAUGAGCGAAAAUCCCGCCUGCAAUAAUCAAAUAUUACGGAUGCGACGAGCUGGCAUAGAAAUUCGGAUGAACGAAUUUCAACCAUCGAGUCUCAUGCAUCAUAAAUUUGCUGUAAUGGACGAUGAAAUCGUUCUGUUUGGGAGCACCAAUUGGACGAUGCAAGCAUUUUAUGGAAACAACGAUUCGAUCGUCGUGACAAACAACAAAAAAUGCGUUAUUGCAUAUUCUAAUGAAUUCGACAAUUUGUGGCGACACUUUUCCCCCUAAGCAGACUCUGGAUUUUACCGUUCGUCGAUAAAAAUCCUACCGAGAGUACACCGAAGUUCCUGGAAGAUGGCGAUUGCGAUGAAUCCUAGAAGCUAUUUUUAAAUUUUUAUAUGAAGUUAAGAAUUACAAGAAUUACAUUGACUACUUUGUCGCGGAGUCAAGAGGAUCGAUCCAGUCGACGAACCUCACUUGGAAUUUCCGAAAUACGAAAUUAUUUGACACAGUUUGACCGAUUAAAAAAUUUUUUUAAUGCCUUUUUUUAAUAGGUCAAACUGUGUCAAAUAAUUUCGAUUUGAAUUUGAGAUUUUUGUAAAAACUUUGUCAGACAAAGUUAUCUCCAGUUUCCUUCGACUUCCUUGAUGGCCAAACUCUUCAAAAUUCUUGCAUUAAUUUUGCUUUCCAGUGCAAAGUUCGAACAAAAAUUUUGUAUUUUGCUCGAAAAAAAAAAAUUAAAAUAAGUCCAACUAUAA